UUUGAUCCUGGCUCAGGACGAACGCUGGCGGCGUGCUUAACACAUGCAAGUCGAACGAUGAAGCCUUCGGGUGGAUUAGUGGCGAACGGGUGAGUAACACGUGGGCAAUCUGCCCUGCACUCUGGGACAAGCCCUGGAAACGGGGUCUAAUACCGGAUAAUACUGUGCCCCUCAUGGGGGACGGUUGAAAGCUCCGGCGGUGCAGGAUGAGCCCGCGGCCUAUCAGCUUGUUGGUGGGGUAAUGGCCUACCAAGGCGACGACGGGUAGCCGGCCUGAGAGGGCGACCGGCCACACUGGGACUGAGACACGGCCCAGACUCCUACGGGAGGCAGCAGUGGGGAAUAUUGCACAAUGGGCGAAAGCCUGAUGCAGCGACGCCGCGUGAGGGAUGACGGCCUUCGGGUUGUAAACCUCUUUCAGCAGGGAAGAAGCGAAAGUGACGGUACCUGCAGAAGAAGCGCCGGCUAACUACGUGCCAGCAGCCGCGGUAAUACGUAGGGCGCAAGCGUUGUCCGGAAUUAUUGGGCGUAAAGAGCUCGUAGGCGGUCUGUCACGUCGGGUGUGAAAGCCCGGGGCUUAACCCCGGGUCUGCAUUCGAUACGGGCAGACUAGAGUGUGGUAGGGGAGAUCGGAAUUCCUGGUGUAGCGGUGAAAUGCGCAGAUAUCAGGAGGAACACCGGUGGCGAAGGCGGAUCUCUGGGCCAUUACUGACGCUGAGGAGCGAAAGCGUGGG
RNAcentral lists this ribosomal RNA (734 nucleotides) under Streptomyces sp. AKB-2008-LO4. Its description in RNAcentral is "bacterial SSU rRNA". It matches the Rfam family "Bacterial small subunit ribosomal RNA", at positions 12 to 765 of the family's 1533-position model. Lineage: Bacteria; Bacillati; Actinomycetota; Actinomycetes; Kitasatosporales; Streptomycetaceae. The record is from RNAcentral.